This 200-nucleotide ribosomal RNA is filed under the name uncultured eukaryote. RNAcentral's name for it is "partial 18S ribosomal RNA". It matches the Rfam family "Eukaryotic small subunit ribosomal RNA", at positions 588 to 784 of the family's 1831-position model. The record is from RNAcentral.
GCUCCAAUAGCGUAUAUUAAAGUUGUUGCAGUUAAAAAGCUCGUAGUUGGAUUUGUGGUGUGACUUGCCGGUCUGAUGGCUUUACUGUUCGUUGGUUACUGUGCGGGUCUGCCUUUUUUGGGUGGAAGCUGUGUGGCAUUAGGUUGUCGUGCAGGGGAUGCCAUCGUUUACUGUGAAAAAAUUAGAGUGUUCAAAGCAGG